RNAcentral lists this ribosomal RNA (253 nucleotides) under uncultured bacterium. Its description in RNAcentral is "partial 16S ribosomal RNA". It matches the Rfam family "Bacterial small subunit ribosomal RNA", at positions 524 to 776 of the family's 1533-position model. The record is from RNAcentral.
UACGGAGGGGGCUAGCGUUGUUCGGAAUUACUGGGCGUAAAGCGCACGUAGGCGGCUUUGUAAGUUAGAGGUGAAAGCCCGGGGCUCAACUCCGGAAUUGCCUUUAAGACUGCAUCGCUAGAAUUGUGGAGAGGUAAGUGGAAUUCCGAGUGUAGAGGUGAAAUUCGUAGAUAUCUGGAGGAACACCGGUGGCGAAGGCGGCAUCCUGGACCAAUUCUGACGCUGAGGAGCGAAAGCCAGGGGAGCAAACGGG